ACAAUAGAGGAGGAAGCGAAAGCUAAGAAAAUUAAUAUCACCGUAAGCAGUCUGCAUAUCCCAUUGAUUUCCUCCUUUAAUCCCAGCGGUUUGAUGGACAUAUAGCAUAUAGAAACAUCGUCUGAAAGCUGCAACCAAAUCUGAUUCGUCUUCCCAAAUCAGAGCUCCUGUAUAACAGACUCCAAAGUUUUAAAGUUCGAGAUUGUCUAACAAAAUCUCCUCUUUAUCACGCUCCGACAAACCAGACCCAGGUUGUGAUGUCAGUCGGCCAUGGUUAAACAAUAACGUUUUGAGCAGUAGCAGCACUCAAGUUGUAAAUGCCCCAAAAGAUCCUUUGAGAAAGAUGGCCCGAAGGAACAUGAUGUGGUUGUGCAAAUCCAAGCUUCUUACACUCAAUAUGAAAGGUGAGGUGAACAGGCUGAGGCACACACUC
Brassica oleracea var. oleracea is the source of this 433-nucleotide long non-coding RNA. RefSeq lists it as uncharacterized. The record is from RefSeq and is a predicted model, not a curated record. The transcript has 4 exons. Lineage: Eukaryota; Viridiplantae; Streptophyta; Magnoliopsida; Brassicales; Brassicaceae.